This 2822-nucleotide ribosomal RNA is filed under the name Triticum aestivum (bread wheat). RNAcentral's name for it is "partial small subunit ribosomal RNA". The record is from RNAcentral. Lineage: Eukaryota; Viridiplantae; Streptophyta; Magnoliopsida; Poales; Poaceae.
GGAGGGCAGAGGGAGAAGGAGGCAGAGUAGCUACCUCUCCUGGCAGCCGCGAGAUUCACCUGGGGGCGGCCGCGACUUGAAGACCAGGGCGGCGGUGACGGCGGCGAGGUACAAGAUCAAAGGGGGCCGACGGGGAUGCAGAUCAGGUGGCAGUCGCCAUGGAGUUCGCGGGAGAGAGAGGGGGGCGAGGGGUGGCGGCUAGGUCAGGGAGGGGUGGUCCGAGCGAGAGGAAAAACAGUUCGGGAGAGAGGUCGUUCGAUCCUAGUGUAGUGGGUCGGGAGGAGAUUUUUGCGGGGGUCGAACCGAGCCUCGCUGACCCCAGCUCGCAUGUAGUAUGUGGGUGCUCCAACGAGCAUAGCUUGGGGCCUUUUUAGCAUCAGAUGGGCCCUCUUCUCCCUCCCCACCCACCGCCGCCGCCGCGACGACCAUCCGCCCAGCGCGGCCAUGGUGCCGGCCCUCGCCCUCGCCCCGAUUCGCGACCUCCUCACCUCCUUCAGCCCCUCCUCCGACUUCCUCGCCCUCUCGUCCGGCGACGGCCGCAUCAAGGUAUGGGACGCCGUGCGCGGCCACUUGCAGACGGAGUUCGCCGACAUCCCCGCAGUGGAGGUCGGGGCGCUCCCCGAGACGAAGCGCGGCCACCUCGCCCUCGACUACACCUGCAUGAAGUGGGUACAACUCUCCACCAAGAAGAAGCGGAAGGCUGGGAGUUCGCUGCUCGUGCUUGGGACGGGCAGUGGCGAUGUCCUUGCGCUCGACGUUGCUGCGGGCCACUGGAAGUGGAGGAUCAGCGAUUGUCAUCCUGGGGGUGUGACAGCAGUGGCAUACUCGAGGCAUGGGCGGAGUGUGUACACAGGAGGCGCUGAUGGCAUGGUCUGUAAGAUUGAUGCCUCAGAUGGAUCUGUUGCAGGGAAAUUUAAAUCUUCGUCGAAGGCAAUAUCUGCGUUGGCAGUUUCAUCAGAUGGAACAGUUUUGGCAACAGCAGCUGGUCAGUUGAGGACCUUUGACGCUUCUGACAACAAAAAAAUUCAAAAAUUCUCUGGGCAUCCGGUGAGUUUGUCUUGUAUGCCCUCCUGUACUGUGAUCCUCUUCUGAAUUUGUUAUCUUUUCAAUUGUAUUGCUUUUUCUAAGUGCACACCUGUUGCUAUUGACUACAUGAACAUUUAUGUGUCUGUGAGAAACAUGAUUUUUAGUAACAAAAUAUGUUCUGUCAUCUGGAGUUGGGGAACGCUAUGUUGCCAUUUGGAAGUUGUCUUGUAUGCCCUCCUGUACUGUGAUCCUCUUCUGAAUUUGUUAUCUUUUCAAUUGUAUUGCUUUUUCUAAGUGCACACCUGUUGCUAUUGACUACAUGAACAUUUAUGUGUCUGUGAGAAACAUGAUUUUUAGUAACAAUGGCAAAUAUGUUCUGUCAUCUGGAGUUGGGGAACGCUAUGUUGCCAUUUGGAAGUUGGGCAGUGGUAAAAGUCAGAGUUCAAGCUGUAUACUCUCUAUGGAACACCCAGCAAUCUUUGUAGACUGCAUGUGUUCAGGUACUAAUGCUACUGAAGGAGAAAUAGAUGUGUUGGCUAUCUCUGAGGUUGGUAUCUGCUAUUUCUGGUCUGGAAAUAACAUGGAUGACUUGCGCAAUAAGAAGCCUACUAAGAUUGCCUUGUCCGAGUCCUCCCUUUCAAGAACGAAUCAGGAUUUCAUGAUAUUUGCCGCAAAACUUCAAGGAAUAGAUGGACCUAAUUCGGCUCAUGUCCUUCUGGCAUAUGGAUCCGUGGUGAAACCAUCUUUUGAUAAGCUGCUGGUUUGUUAUGGUAAGGAUGUUAAUUUGGGUGUAUCUGAAGAUGGAGUUCUCUUACCUACAGUUCAACCCACCAUGCACCAGAAAGGUCAAUCUGCUAAAACAAAAGUAACUAUCACUGCUCUAGACCGUGCGAAUGCAGAAGAUGCCAUUCUUCCUCUUCCGAAGCUUCAUACACAAGAAAAGAAAAGGAAACAUGGUGUAACAAAACCGAGUGGCGUCAAACUUGCGAUUGAUAGUGACCUUGGUACCACUUCAAGGUUGACCGAGAAAAGAGUUCCAGUGCAAAGAAUUGAAAACGACAGCAUAUGCAUUGAAGAUCUGAUGAGGAAAUAUGGCGUCAUUGAUCAGAGUCUCGUCGGCCAUCCUGACAUGGCCACUAAAAUCUUAUCAGAUAUGUUUAGUAGCAGUGGCAUAACAAUUGACGCUAAUUUACCCAGCAAGAAGAUUCGAGCACAUCUAAGAUCUUUAAAGCCUGGAGAUGCUUGCAAGCUUCUAGAGAAUUUAGUAUGUGCAUGGAGAUCAAGAUCUGGUAGCGCUGAGCUUGUUUUGCGUUGGAUAUACUGCUUACUGGUAAUUCAUGGUCGUUUUAUCCCCUUGGAGAAAUCAAGAAAACUAAUUAGCACCUGGAGAAGAUGUGUGCAGAAAGAUACACAGCAACUGAAGAUUUACUGAAGCUUUCUGGUCGUCUUCGGCUGAUAAUGGCACAGGUUGACAAGGAUGUGAAAGAUGUAUCGGCGAAGGCCGCAGUCCAAUCUGAUGAAGAGGAAGAAGAUGAAAUUGAUGAAAUGGUGUAUGGUGAAGACGUGGAUUUGUCUGAAAACAGUGACGAUGAUGCUGAGUAGAAUCGCAGCAUUGUUGGCAUGUCUCCGAGAGACUUUUCGACUUUGUGUACGGUCAAGAUGUAUUUUUCAAGCUUAGAGCCCAUAGUCAAGUUUGUAAAACGCGCAACGACGGAAGGUUACACUAAUUUUGACAACAGGAGGUAAUAUCUGAAAGGCAUUUUUGUAUGGAAACUUAUCCUAUCUAUGCAUCCGAG